RNAcentral lists this transfer RNA (65 nucleotides) under uncultured Methanobrevibacter sp. It matches the Rfam family "tRNA", at positions 6 to 65 of the family's 71-position model. From Rfam's summary of the family: Transfer RNA (tRNA) molecules are approximately 80 nucleotides in length. Their secondary structure includes four short double-helical elements and three loops (D, anti-codon, and T loops). The record is from RNAcentral. Lineage: Archaea; Methanobacteriati; Methanobacteriota; Methanobacteria; Methanobacteriales; Methanobacteriaceae.
UGUGACUCAGUCAGGUAGAGUGCUGCCCUUACAAGGCGGAAGCCGAGGGUUCAAAUCCCUCCGGG